UUUAUGAUCUGGGCUGGGACUUGGACUUGGACGCUGCCGGUUACACGGCUCGUCUCAAAUGACUUAGUGGAUCUCUCUGCAUCCGUGACAGACGUAAUAAGUUUCGUCUCGUCCCUUGCUGUCUGAGUCUGCUCCUAACCUGCCAUCGUGCACUUUUAGACUCUGACCUCAAAUCAGGUAGGACUACCCGCUGAACUUAA
This 200-nucleotide unclassified non-coding RNA is filed under the name soil metagenome. RNAcentral describes it as "partial contains internal transcribed spacer 2 and large subunit ribosomal RNA". The record is from RNAcentral.